GUUUGCAUUGGUAGUAAUUGUAUUUAGUAAAGUUCUUCUUACUAUGUAAAUGUGUUUUAAAGUCAUGAGAGUUUAUUAGGCAAGAGGCGGGCAACUCUUUUUAUCAAUAUAUAUUGCCAAAAGUAGCCUUAUCAUGUCUAGUACUAAUAGCCUAGUGCUACAUCCUUUCUAUACAAUUUAGUUGGAAAAGAAGGUAUUUUAGUAACUUAGUAGCUGGGGUGAAUGAAACUUAGGGAUGCUAAAGGGGUUAGGGUUUUGCGUGUAAAGAUCUGCAUAGUAGAAAGUAGGGAUCACAUGGGUUGCUGCAUUACCAUUUAGAUCACAAAGCUUCACCCUUUUUUUUCCCUUUUUCAAUGGCUUUCCCUUGCUGCUCUUUUCGAUAAUUGGAAAGUUUUUCUGUUAGGCCUCUCUUUCUCAUCAAGUGAUUAGUUGUUCUUCAACAUCAGAUGGGUGGGACAUUGUUUCCCUAAAUAUGAACUCUCACUACCAUAUACCAAACUGCAACCUACCCUCUACUUAACCAUUUAGAUUGACAAGCUACAUUUCUCCUCCCCCUCAAUCAAAUCAAAACCAAAACUGCCCUUCAAAGGAAAAUCUGAAAACUCAUCCCCACCCUUUUGGUUUCUGGCUUUUGUCUCCAAACUUCGAUAGAGAAACUUACACCAAGAGAAGAAGAAACCCAACUCAAUUUAGGUGUCAAACGUGGAAAUGACUCAGCAUGGGACAGUAACAAGCACCAACCAUGAAAAGAUUGGUCCAAGAUCUCAACCACUAAGAAAUCACCGACCAACCUCUCUCACAGCGUCCAGCCAAAAAGAAGUUAAACCCCAAAGCAAAUUUCAAAUUUGGUUGACCCCAUGUAAUAUAACCUUCUCCCUUUUUGUAUAAUAAAGAUUAUACUGAUGAGGGAUUAGUGGGGUCAUAGAGCUAUAUUGGAUGUGAGGUUAGCUGCAUCUUGAUGCAUCUGCUCAGUCUAGUUAUUAGGAAAAAGGAAUCAUACUCAACCACCCAUUACUCUUUUAGUUAAUCUCCAAUCACUAAAAACACUUAAUUUUUAGAACUAAUGAUUGAACAACUGCUAAUUCCCACCAAUAGAAGUGGCUAUCAUUCAGGUACAUGGCUUGCAGUCACUGGCUUGAGAGAUUACUUUAAGGGUCUUGCCUAACAUAUCCAAUUCAAAGAAAAAUGAAGCCCCCAUGAGAUUCAAUCCCUUUCUCUUCUUACAAUCAAAAAGUGCAUAAAAAUCUAGGUGUAAAGGCAAGGAUCUGACUCUAUCUGGUCUAUAAAAGUUCACAGGAGGAGCUUGUUUGGAACAGUUCCAUUGAACAUUAAGUGAUCAGAUCAUUUUAGGUAGAACAGAACAGACUGAUGUCUCUAAUUCUUGACAAGAGAGGUGGAGGGGGAAGGAAAAGAGCUAUGAAAUUCCCAUAUACGUGUUGAAACCGAAAGUUGAGGGAAGAAAGGAGUGAGCAUUACAAUGGUAGUGAUCAAUCUUCAUAAAGGGGCACACUUCCCUCAAUCAUGAGUUUUUGAUUCAUCGGGUGAGGGGGGGCAGUUACCGGAAGACUAGAGAAUGAAUUUAGGCCAAGUUCAGAGGAAGGUUUAAGCUUUGAAAGACAAGAAUGGUGUGCCACAUGAAAUGGAAUCUAGUUGUAAUGAUCAAUGAGAGAAAGACAGAGAGGACAUGCCUUGUGUAGUGUAGUAGCAGAAUGGGAGUCCCUCAUGAUCUAUAAUGAAAUCUUUUACUUGAAAAUACAUAUAGAGACAAGGUAAGGCUGGGGCCAGAGGAAAAGGGAGCCAUCAUUCUAUGGAUGCUUGGAUGCAGUGUAUACAAGUAGGACUCAUGGGGGGUGGGUCUUCUCUUGUCCUUGGGUUGUGGCCAUGUCCACACCUUGUUGUAGCAGUGACUUAAGUGGAGGUACUGGUCAAACAACCACAUUAUUGUGAUUUAAUCUCAGGAAAAGCCAUGGCUCAUAGUCUCAUAUUAUCUGUCUUUUUUUUUCUUUUUUUGGAAAAUACCAAGGUAUCACAGUGAUACCUAUCAAACUCCAAAUCCGGACCAUUAAAUGUGUAUGGUGAAAUGUAAGUUAUUGAAUGAAGAUACAAAUAAAUAAAACCAAGGGAUAAGAGUACAAACAAAUGAGAUUAUAAUACAAA
Vitis vinifera (wine grape) is the source of this 2157-nucleotide long non-coding RNA. RefSeq lists it as uncharacterized. NCBI's taxonomy places the organism in Eukaryota, Viridiplantae, Streptophyta, Magnoliopsida, Vitales, Vitaceae. The transcript has 2 exons. The record is from RefSeq and is a predicted model, not a curated record.